Molecule: small nuclear RNA, 193 nt
Organism: Atta colombica
Lineage: Eukaryota; Metazoa; Arthropoda; Insecta; Hymenoptera; Formicidae
Rfam family: U2 spliceosomal RNA
About the family: U2 is a small nuclear RNA (snRNA) component of the spliceosome (involved in pre-mRNA splicing). Complementary binding between U2 snRNA (in an area lying towards the 5' end but 3' to hairpin I) and the branchpoint sequence (BPS) of the intron results the bulging out of an unpaired adenosine, on the BPS, which initiates a nucleophilic attack at the intronic 5' splice site, thus starting the first of two transesterification reactions that mediate splicing.
Source: Rfam
AUCGCUUCUCGGCUCUCUGAGCUAAGAUCAAAGUGUAGUAUCUGUUCUUAUCAGCUUAAUAUCUGAUACAGUCCCCAUAGGGGGCUCAGUAUAUUAAUCUAUUUUUUGGGACCAGGCGGGUGCUCGGAGCUUGCUCCGACCUUGCCACGGGUCGACCCUGCAUUGCAUUGCAGCAGGGUACGGCCCAGCAGAG